UUGGACCUUCAGCAUCUCUUAUCAAUGUCAUUUACGUGUCUUUCAAUUAUUUACUUGUACUUCUACGUGUACGCCGAAGAGACAUCAUUGUAGGUGUUUCCCUUUCUUUCAAGAGUUUCUUUCGGGUCUCCCGGAAAUCUCCAUUUGCUCUUAAAGCUCUCUUUGUUUUGUUCUUGCUGGGUGUAGGUAAAAGUGUGUUCCUCUUUUAAUUUUUUCUCAGAUCUUCUUCUCUUUUCUCUUUUUUUGUCCUUUCGUAAUAUUUUGGGUUGUCUUCGUACUUUUUCUCUUCGUCGUUUUUCUUUAGGUGCUUUUCCCGGUUCUAUGAAUACUUUUUAAUUUUGCAAUUUCAUGGUUAUCAUGUGCUAAAUCCGACUGUGUGACUGGGAGUAGACGGGAAUUAGCGCUAUAAAUUUUUCUAAAAUACAUAAUGGUAUUGAAAGAAGACUCGGAGGUUAGUAAAUGUUUACUGGCUUAAUCUCUUUCUUCGACGGUCCUCUUCGAUUUAGUGCUUUGUUUUGUACCUUUUGGGCAUUUUAUAUUUUCCUUCGUAAUUUUUUUCUUCAUCUAUUUGAGGUAGGACUGGUGCAGUGAUAAUUCAUCCUUUUGAUUAAGCGUUCGGAUGAGAGGCAUGAUUGAAUUAAUUAACAAUGAUCCUUUUUGUUGAAUUAGUAGUGUUGUUUUGUGCUAUGAGUAUUGUGGCUAGAAGUUGCAAGGUCUCGAAAUGUAUCUGAUAUCUUUUAUCCGAAGUAGCAAUUGAACUUUUUGGUACAUAACUGAUGCUUUUCAAUAAUAACUUUCUGAGUCUCAACCAUUGGCUUUACCUAUCUGACCAUGUUUGUUUGAGUAAAUUCAUUUGAUUUAGACUUCUUUCUGAAAAUUUUAAAUUGGAAAAAAAGAAGAGGGAUUUUGUCUAUCACUGUUGUUUGAUGUUUUGAUCUAGAAUAAAUAGUACAUUGAGCAGUUAAGCUAACAAAUACUUGAUCUUGUCCAGCAUGGUGGAGAUACUCAUGAGUAACUUGGUAGUUAAUUAGUCAUCGCAUGCAUAUGACUUGCCUCUAGCACUUGAAUUGAUGUAAUUUUUCAUUUUUGUCAACCUUUUGGUUGCAAUUGUCCAUUAUUGAUACUUCAUUUUUUAUUGUAUUUAUCUUCUUUGUUAUUAUUACAGUAGUUACAUUCUGUUAUGGUAGUUGUUUGUUCGUGCGCAACAUUUCAUAGUGUGAUAAGUAUUGUUAUUCUACUCCUUAACUUCUUUGUUAUUUUGAGAAGGGCCCGACAUCUCUCGAUCCUCAUCUUGUCGAUUUAAAAAAUGAUUUAUCCAUUUUAUUCAUUUCAGGCUUCUUAGUCAUAUUUGGAGGCAUUUUUCAAUUAAAAGGUAAUGUUUUCUCUCAUAUGAUAUUUUAUGUAUAAAUAUUGUAUGUUUAGCUGAGUUCUUCCAUUUCGAAACAAUCUAAAAACUACUUCAAGUGAUUGUUCUUUGUUGAUUUUGUCACCUGUAAAAGAGGUCUUCUACUAUUCUUUUGGUUCCUUGUUGUGUUUGGUUCCUUUAUAUAUGUAAAUAGUAGGAGUAAUAUUUAUCAGUUAAUAUAGUGUUGCAUC
RNAcentral lists this long non-coding RNA (1596 nucleotides) under Nicotiana tabacum (common tobacco). RNAcentral describes it as "long non-coding RNA (NTAB_LNC011142)". Lineage: Eukaryota; Viridiplantae; Streptophyta; Magnoliopsida; Solanales; Solanaceae. The record is from RNAcentral.